This 73-nucleotide transfer RNA is filed under the name Paramuricea clavata. It matches the Rfam family "tRNA". From Rfam's summary of the family: Transfer RNA (tRNA) molecules are approximately 80 nucleotides in length. Their secondary structure includes four short double-helical elements and three loops (D, anti-codon, and T loops). The record is from Rfam by way of RNAcentral. Lineage: Eukaryota; Metazoa; Cnidaria; Anthozoa; Malacalcyonacea; Plexauridae.
GACAGUGUAGCUCAGUUGGCAGAGCAUUGGGCUAGUAUUCCAAAGGUCGUAGGUUCGAAUCCCACCAUGGCCG